Molecule: long non-coding RNA, 173 nt
Organism: Artibeus jamaicensis (Jamaican fruit-eating bat)
Lineage: Eukaryota; Metazoa; Chordata; Mammalia; Chiroptera; Phyllostomidae
Exons: 3
Source: RefSeq, a predicted model, not a curated record
GAGGAACUCAACUGGGCCAACCCCCCGACCUGUGCCCAGCACUCCCAGGCCAAGUGCAGCAGGCAGCUGCAAUUCCAACAGCCACAACAUCAGAUAUCAUCAGCCCUGCGACUACUGUGGCCGCUACUGCUUCUGCCUACCAGCGCGCGAUGAAAGACUGGUCCCUCAGGCGC